This 432-nucleotide ribosomal RNA is filed under the name uncultured bacterium. RNAcentral describes it as "partial 16S ribosomal RNA". It matches the Rfam family "Bacterial small subunit ribosomal RNA", at positions 29 to 506 of the family's 1533-position model. The record is from RNAcentral.
AACGAACGCUGGCGGCAUGCCUAACACAUGCAAGUCGAACGAGACCUUCGGGUCUAGUGGCGCACGGGUGCGUAACGCGUGGGAACCUGCCCUUAGGUUCGGAAUAACUCCCCGAAAGGGGUGCUAAUACCGGAUAAUGUCUUCGGACCAAAGAUUUAUCGCCUUUGGAUGGGCCCGCGUUGGAUUAGCUAGUUGGUAGGGUAAAAGCCUACCAAGGCGACGAUCCAUAGCUGGUCUGAGAGGAUGCUCAGCCACACUGGGACUGAGACACGGCCCAGACUCCUACGGGAGGCAGCAGUGGGGAAUAUUGGACAAUGGGCGAAAGCCUGAUCCAGCAAUGCCGCGUGAGUGAUGAAGGCCUUAGGGUUGUAAAGCUCUUUUACCCGGGAUGAUAAUGACAGUAUCGGGAGAAUAAGCUCCGGCUAACUCCGU